UUUCCGUAGGUGAACCUGCGGAAGGAUCAUUAUUGAAUAAACUUGAUGUGGUUGUAGCUGGUCUCCACCUGGGGGCAUGUGCUCGCCCAUCACCUUUAUAUUUCCACCUGUGCACUCUUUGUAGACUUUGAAUAUGAUCACUUUCCGAGGAAACUCGGUCGUAGAGGAUUGCUCUGUUAACAUGGCGCUUUUCUUGCAUGUACAAAGUCUAUGUUUUUCAUAUACUCCAAAAAUGUAACAGAAUGUAUCUUGGGUCUUUGUGCCCUAUAAACUAUAUACAACUUUCAGCAACGGAUCUCUUGGCUCUC
RNAcentral lists this unclassified non-coding RNA (308 nucleotides) under plant metagenome. RNAcentral's name for it is "partial contains small subunit ribosomal RNA, internal transcribed spacer 1, and 5.8S ribosomal RNA". The record is from RNAcentral.